Molecule: long non-coding RNA, 1005 nt
Organism: Mastomys coucha (southern multimammate mouse)
Lineage: Eukaryota; Metazoa; Chordata; Mammalia; Rodentia; Muridae
Exons: 4
Source: RefSeq, a predicted model, not a curated record
CCUGGUCACCUUUCCCAACACUGGACCAUGAGUGUUGUGGCUGCCAUGUGUUGGUGGUGACAAAUGGAAUUUUUGAUGUGAUGAAAGCUCUGCUAUGUACUCCUGGAACCUUCCUGCUCUGUCUUCUGCAUUCUGCAGCUGGAUCCAAGUCACAAUCCCAUGCUUUGAAAGAACCCUGGACUCAAGAACAGUCUGAGCUUAAUUCCUGGCUUCAUUACUAACUGUAAAUCAAAGCUCACUGAACCUCGGCUUCCCCAACUAUAAAAUAAGGGGGAAAAAACUAAAAACAUUGAAAUCCCUACAAAAGACACAAUGCUGUGUGACAUGAACACACGUGCACGGAGCCAAUCACAUCAUUUCAUUUCUCCUUUCGUUAUCCAGUAAGCCAGGAAAGUCUACCUCCUGCCUCCAAAGAAGCAAGGUCGACUCUUCUGUAUCAUGACUAUUAAGGCUGAAUUGUGAGUUUAAUCUGGACAACUGGGGGAGAGAUGUGCUGUAACUGGGGACCUUUUUGCAAAUGAGAAAGUCCAGGCCAGAAGAACCAAAGGCUACCUAGCAUGGACCAGUGAGCGGCAGACUCAGAUAGAAGCAGCAGCAUGCCAUUGGACCUCCCUUACCUCCCUUGAUACAUCACCAGCGACUGAACGGAUGCCCAGAGACUUGCUAGGUGCCCACCCGCUCAGCGCUGGGAAAGGGACGCAGAAGCAGCAGGUGAAUUUCCUGACUCUGCCUGGUCGCCAAGUCCACACCGCCCACUGACAAACACAUCUAGUCCGGGAACCCGGUUGUAUGCACGCACAAUGCUGAAAUGGGAAUAAUAUCCCCAUUUUAGAUAUGGAGAAAAUGAAGCUCACUGAAAAUGGGACCUGCCUAGGAAAUAGUGGAUUCAACCUUGGAAAAACAAAACAAAACACCCAGAAGCCAUCAUGUCGCAGGAAUAAUUUGAAGAGCAGCAGCAGAGACUUUUUGGAUUCUAGAGGCUGCACUAAAAGACUUUCUCCUUAC